CUUGGGAAUCUUUUAGCUCAGGAUGCUGUGUUCCAUAUUCACGACGGCAUUUCCAUGCUCGUGAGGGCAACCAGUAGAACUGUUCUCUGUGCCGGACGAGCACCAAUGGCUCCGCUCCUCCUUGCUGCCUCCCUGAGUCGCUCUGUCCCUGGGACUGCUAAGGGCACGGGGCCUGUAGUGACGGUUCCGGCCGCCAGGGAAGAUGCUGGCCUUCCUGGUCUGCCUGGGAUUAAUGAACUUGGCCACUCUUGGGACUCCUCCCCUUGCUAGCCUGCAGGUUCACCUCUCCCAAGAGUCCAGGGUCUGUAUCGCCCCUUUCCUUCUCCCCUUAACUGAUUUAUCUUGCUUUGGGAUAAUACCACCCCCUCCCUCCCCACGACCAGACAAGCCAUGUGUGCCCCGCCCUCUCCUAAGCAAUUUACAGGAAUGAACUCCUGACUCUCCAAACAACUGUAUGGGACAGGCACCCCCCCAUCUUCCAGAGAACAGCAUGCAGGCUCAGAGAGGUGAAGUGACUUGCCCAUGGUCACACUGCUGGGGAGGUGGAGAAGCCAGGAUGUAGGCUGGCUUAACUGUGCUGCUAUUCUGCCUCAUGGCAUUUAGUUUGAAGAGAAGGGGCUUCAGGACAAUACUAACCUAGGUGCACAGGUUGUCCUUCCCGUUGCUAAGGAGCCCUAGGCAAGUCAGUUAAUCUCAGAGUCUGUUUCAUCGGCAAAAUGGGCCUGAAUUUCUUCCUGAUUCACUGGGUAGUUUGUACAGAUGAAAUGUGAUCACAGCUGCCAAUAAACCUGGUCCCACAGUGACGUGGACAGCAGCCUCCUGCAGCACCACUGCUCCGCCCGGGCUAUGAGAAGAUGGGCACUGGCAGGGAGGGUGGCAGGCAGUCCCAACAGCUGGGGCUCCAGGCUGAUAGCAGUGGCUGAGAGGGAGUCAUCCCAGAUCUCAGGCUAUCCCACCCAUCUCAUCCCAGAGGGCACCAUAUGUCUCUCCACCACAUAGUCACCUGUCUCCCUGACUGUGUUCCACUGUCACUAGAACAAGAGGAUCUGGGCCUGCCAAGCUCCAAAGACAGCUCAUCGUGAGGAGGAAAAGUGACUUUACAAAAGCAAUGUGUGGUGGCUGUUAAACUGCUGCAUCUUCUAUCCGCCUUCACACCAUUCUCACGCACAUACACAUGCGCACACACAUGCCUACAUGCACACACAUAGGCAUGGGCGCACACACAGGCAUGCGCACACAUGCGUACAUGCACGCACACAGGC
RNAcentral lists this long non-coding RNA (1262 nucleotides) under Homo sapiens (human). Its description in RNAcentral is "HSALNT0383161". Lineage: Eukaryota; Metazoa; Chordata; Mammalia; Primates; Hominidae. The record is from RNAcentral.